This 593-nucleotide ribosomal RNA is filed under the name Sinoxylon conigerum. RNAcentral's name for it is "eukaryotic LSU rRNA". It matches the Rfam family "Eukaryotic large subunit ribosomal RNA", at positions 284 to 645 of the family's 3401-position model. The record is from RNAcentral. Lineage: Eukaryota; Metazoa; Arthropoda; Insecta; Coleoptera; Bostrichidae.
AGCCCUAAGUGGGUGGUAAACUCCAUCUAAGGCUAAAUACUACCACGAGACCGAUAGCGAACAAGUACCGUGAGGGAAAGUUGAAAAGCACUUUGAAGAGAGAGUUCAAUAGUACGUGAAACCGUUCAGGGGUAAACCUGAGAAACCCGAAAGGUCGAAGGGGGAGAUUCAACCGCGUUUCGAUUCGUAAACGGCAGGAGUACGUAUAUGACGUUCCGAUUGCUUGACUGGUCUCGUGCCGGAAGAGCCGGACGCAUGUCGUGCUCGUCGAGCGGUCGAACGCGUGCACUUCUCCCCUUGUAGGACGUCGCGACCCGUUGGGUGCGGGUCUAAGGGGCUGACAUGGGCAGACCCGCCGGUCGUGUCGUGAGAUGCGGUCCGGUGGAACCGGUUGCUCCCGGCCCGCCCGCUCGACGGUAUACAUAUAUGGCGUAGGGCCGCGUUUUACGCGUCCGGCCUGCGACGAGCGUACACGGUAAACCUGUGCUCCGGACCUAGUGCCGUUGCUGGGCCCGUUGUCGCUGUCUGUUGUGGUGUUCUUGGACAGAGCUCUAAACGCCGGUCAGCGACGCCGUAGCUUUGGGUACUUUCAG